GUACGUGUGUAAUAACAGCUAGUGUAGUGUCGACCGUGGACGUAUAUGUGCAAUUUGGUUAGAAGAUUUGGACGUUAAAUUGCUUGCAGUGCAGUGCAGUUGCUUAGUUAAAGUGAGUUCUCAUCACGAGGUCGAGGUAUGGAGUCUGAACAGGAAAGAAAGCUUUUUCUAGGUGGGCUGAAUUACAACACAAAAGAUGAAGACAUCAAGAAAUAUUUUGGCACAUUUGGAAAAAUCGUGGACUGUUGUGUUAUCAAAGAUUCAAAUUCACAGAGGUCCAAAGGAUUUGGAUUUGUCACAUUCUCCAGCCGAAAGGAAGUCGAUGAUGUUAUGAAAGCUAGAAAAGAAAAUCCUCAUCGACUUGAUAACAGAGAUAUUGAUGUGAGAAGAGCCAUGUCAAGAGAUGAGAAGGGACCAAAGAAUCCCUCAUUCAAGUGUUUCUUGGGUGGCAUCCCAAGGGAUACCACAGAGGAGGACUUGAGAAAGUACUUUGGUCAAUUCGGUAACAUCGUUGAAUUUGCAUCACAUCUCAACAAAGGAUUUUGUUUUAUCACCUAUGAUGACACAGACUGUGUUGAUCAGAUUGUCAUGCAGAAGCACCAUAAGAUUAAUGGCAAGAAGGUUGAAGGAAAGAAGGCAUACUCUAAGGAAGAGAUGAAUGAAAUGAAGAUGAAAGAACAGCAGCAACAAGGUGGCUUUGGUGGACCUGGUGGCUACAGAGGCUUUGGAGGAGGGGGAGGAGGAGGGGGAUAUGGUGGAGGAGAUUACCAAGGUGGAUAUAGCGGUGGCCAGGGAGGAGGAGGUGGCUAUAACCAAGGAUAUGGUGGAGGACCAGGAGGUGGUUUCGGAGGAGGCGGUGGCUAUGGUGGCGGUGGCGGCUACAGUGGCGGUAGUGGUUAUGGUGGCGGCGGCAAUUUCAAUGACUUUGGUUCCAACUAUGGAGGACAGAACUCUAACUAUGGACCUGUGAGAGGAGGUGGUGGAGGCAGCGGUGGAGGAGGAAACUAUGGAGGAGGGCGCAACCAAGGGCCUUAUCCAAGUAAUAAUGGUGCUCCAUACAGUGGUGGAGGACAGGGUGGACCACAGGGCUAUGGAGGUGGAGGCGGAGGUUACCAAGGUGGUGGUUACGGUGGUGGACAAGGAGGUGGUGGCGGUUACAGUGGAGGUGGUGGAGGCUACCAGGGCGGUGGUGGUGGUGGCUUUGGAAAGAGAUUCUAAGUGUUGAUAACUGACCAACAAUGAUAGACCAACCAGUUGAGGUACAGCAGAUGGUUGCACUUGUUAAAGUUCUCCAAUGGCAGAUCCUUUCAGAUGCUUUUCCUGAAUGUCGAAGAUAGCUUCAUUGGUGUUGAAAGAUUGACCUAACUGGGCUAGAGGAUAACCCUGAUGUUUAACAUCAUGUCCAUGAGGUUCAUUUCAAGUGACAACCUGAAGGCAGGAUAAAGACAUUUACUAUUCCUGUGUUUAUCAAUGAUAAGGGAGAUAAACUGUUUUGUUCAGUUGUAUCUGAAACUAAUCAAGGUUCUAGAAUGGAGAGUGUGUUAAGCAAAUGUGAACAUAAAUGUCACGUUUCAGUUACACAAAAUAUCUCUAAUGCACCAGCUUAUAGCUCAUUACCACUCACCUAUUCCUUUCAGCUAAAAUCCACCCUGUAGUACAUGCCUCUGAUAUUCAGUUACAUCUAUACCUAGUUUAGAGUAACUGCUACUAGAUUCAUUAAGAAUAUCAUUCUUAACUGUAAAAGAGCCAGGUUAUUGGGGCCGCUCCCCCCCCCCCCCCCCCCCUGAGAACUCGGCCCUCAAUUGCGCGAGCACCUCAAAAACUUGCACAGGGGUAGUGUGCAAUAUAAUCUACAAGGGUGUAUGGUUAAUUAUAUUGAAAUAAGAUUUUUAAUUUAAUGACUUGAUUAUGCUAAUUUAUUCAGAUUUUCAGAUAGCAGAUAGAUUUUCUCAAAUCAACUAUCAUAUUGCCUCAAAACUGCUAUUUUUUUUUAUUCAGACUCUCUGUAGGAUCAUGAUCAAAUGUACUUGAAGGUCAAGUCCACCUCAGGAAAAUGUUGAUUUAGGAAAAUGUCCUUUAGGGUCAACAAACUUUGGUAAUGUUGGGGGUAUUUGUGGAACUGUCCUAACUUUAUGACAGUCAUAAGUUUAUGGAUCUAGUUCAUGAAACUUGGAUAUAAGAGCAGCAAUGUUAAAUAUAAUACCCUGUGCACGUUUCAGGGACUUGGCCAAGAUCGAAGAUCAUUCAAAGGUUGUUGAGAGUAUGUGUUGAAUUGGCAUCAUAACUUAGAAAGUUUAUGGAUCUAGCUCAUGAAACAUAGACGUAAGGGUAAUCAAGUAUGAAUGAUGCGCAUGUAUUAGGUCACAUGAUCAUGGUCAUUUUGGGUCAAUGGACAUCAUAUUUUAUCAUAUUAGUGUUUUUCUUCUGUGAAUAAUUACUCAUUAGCUGUUUUCAAAUUCUUAUCUCUUUUGAAUCAUGACAGAAUUCCAUGCUUAUUGUGCAGGUUACUGAGUAAUUUCUAAUUUUCUACACGGGUGGUGUUUCAUAAAGCUGUUCGUAAAGUUCCGCAAAACUUUACGAACGACUGGAACAUGUUCUUAUCCGUAAGUCAGCUACAUAGGGAUAUAUCACAUAGCACAAGAAAGGGUCACCAGUCAUGCGAAAAGUCAUUCGUAACUUACAAACAGCUUUAUGAAACGGGCCCAUGCAUCAACUUUGCACAUGAUAUUCAUUUAUACAAAUACUUUGUGCUAAUCUAUCAUAAUGACAAACCUGCUGAUACUCAUUACACUAAGAGAAGCUUUGAUGACUCAUCAUUACAGAACUUCUUUAUCAAGUUGUCUAACUCUCAAUUUGAUGUUAGUUCAAGUAACAAUGUUGAAACGAAGUACAAUCAUUUUUUAGGCAUAUUUUUACGUCAUUACAAUGACUGCUUCCCCAUGAGAAGCUAUUCCAUAAAGAAAAGGAAUAAAAAACCAUGGAUGACUAGGGAACUUAGAAAAUUAUGUAUUAAAAAGAAUAAUCUAUACAAGAAAUAUAUCAGAAAUCCAACAAAUUUAAAUGAAAUCAAAUAUAAAAAUAUAGAAAUUUUGUGACUUAUCAGCUGCGUAAAGUCAAAUCUAAUUAUUACACACAAGAAUUCAAACAGGUCAAAGAUAACAUCCAUUCUACAUGGAAAUUUAUAAAUAAUAUAAUGGGUAAGAAACUUAAUUCUAAACCUAUUGACUCAAUUAUUACUCCUGAUGGUCAAACAUAGUCUGACAAUUCACUUAUUGCGAAUGCAUUUAAUAAUCAUUUCGUAACUAUUGGUGAAAAAUUGAUAAAUCAACAUACUGCUAUUAACUCGUCAUCUGUACCUUCAUUUCAGGAUUACAUUCCACAACGUAACCUGAAAUCUAUGUUUUUUAAACCAAUAACAUGCAAAGAAAUUUAUGAAAUUGUGAAAGAUAUGCCAAACGACUCUAGUCCUGGUAUGGAUUCAAUAGUUGUUGAAAAAAACAAUCUCAUUGAUAUGCAUUCCAUUAUGCAAUAUUUUUAAUUUAAGCAUAUCAACAGGUACUGUUCCCAAAUAUUUGAAGAUUGAUAAGGUCACUCCUAAACACAAAAGUGGAAGUCGAGAAAAUAUGAACAAUUAUCGUCCAAUAUCUGUACUAAAUAUAUUUGCUAAAAUACUUGAGAGAUGUGUGUAUAACAGGAUUAUUAGUUUUAUUGAUGAAAAUGAUAUAAUAUUUAACAACCAGUAUGGAUUCAGGAAGGGGCACUCCACAUCUUCAGCUGUCUUGGAGCUUACACAUAAGAUACACAACUCUAUUAAUAACAAAGAACAUACUCUAGCAAUAUUUAAUGAUCUCUCUAAAGCCUUUGAUGUUAUUGACCACUCUAUUCUGUUAAAAAAAACUAGAUUACCAUGGAAUAAGGGGCUUGCCACUCAAAUGGAUCCCAGAUUAUUUAACCGAUCGAGAACAAAUUACUAUAUUUAACAAAUGUGAGUCAAGCUCCAGGACAGUGAGAUAUGGAGUGCCCCAGGUUCAGUCCUUGGCCCACUCCUUUUUCUGUUAUUUAUAAAUGAUUUACCCCAAUGUUCAAAUAUGCUAAAUUUUGUGUUAUUUGCUGAUGACACGUGUGUCUCUAUGUCUGGUAGUAAUAUUGAUAUUCUGUUCAGAGAUGUGAAUUUACAGCUUAAAAAGAUCAAUGAGUGGGUGUCAGUCAAUAAUCUAAUUGUGAAUACUUCAAAAACCAAUUAUAUGUUGUUAAGCACAUGCAGCCAUAAGAUAGACAACUUAAAAUUAUACUAUAAUAGCUUUGAAAUUACUCAACUUCACAAUGUAAAAUUUUUAGGUAUUUAUUUGGAUGACAAUUUAUCUUGGAACUUUCAUAUUGAACAGGUCUGUAAUAAGAUUGCUAAAAAGAUUGGGAUAAUAGCUAAACUUAAUUUUUUGCCAAGUUCAGUUCUAAAAAUGUUAUAUCAUGCUUUUAUCACAUCUACCAUUAACUAUGGAGUGAUUGCAUGGGGAAUUACAACUAAAAGAAAUAUACAGAAAAUUUUUACUUUACAAAAAUGAGCAAUCCGUCUAAUAACUCAUUCCAAUUACAUCUCUGAAAGUGCACCUCUUUUCCAACGAAACAAUAUCUUACCGAUUCAGAAUAUCAUAUCAUUACAGACCUGUUUAUUCAUGUACCAAUGCCAUAACCAUAUGUUACCUAAGUCUCCUCAAGAUUAUUUUAAAAUGAAUAAUUUAUAUCACUUAUAUCAAACUAGAAAUUGUAAAAGUUAUCACCCUCCUUUGCCAUGCAUAGCUUUAACUAGACGAUCUGUUUUUUAUUUUGGACCACUCUUUUGGAACUCAUUACCGAAUUCUGUUAAAUUAUCAAAAUCUUUAAAUCAAUUUAAACGUGCAUGUCUUCAAAACAAAACACUUUUAAACACGGCUUUCCAUUUAUUGUAAUGAUUUGUUUUCACCCCCCCCCUUUUCUUAGACUUGUAAUUAUGUUAUGAUUAUAUUGUUUGUUUACUUUACAUGUAUUAAUAUGAUUUAUUCUAUACUUUAGGGGCCAAUUUAUACAAGCAGUUAUGCUUUCUUUGACCCAUCCACGUGUAAUAUAUCUUUUAAUGUCAAUGAUUUGUAUAUACAUAUAUUUUUAAUUGUGGAAAUAAAUUUGAAUUGAA
Lytechinus variegatus (green sea urchin) is the source of this 5167-nucleotide RNA transcript. It is a transcript of the gene named heterogeneous nuclear ribonucleoprotein A3-like, with no coding region annotated. Lineage: Eukaryota; Metazoa; Echinodermata; Echinoidea; Temnopleuroida; Toxopneustidae. The record is from RefSeq and is a predicted model, not a curated record. The transcript has 11 exons.